This 408-nucleotide long non-coding RNA is filed under the name Bos taurus (domestic cattle). RNAcentral describes it as "long non-coding RNA NONBTAT011990". Lineage: Eukaryota; Metazoa; Chordata; Mammalia; Artiodactyla; Bovidae. The record is from RNAcentral.
UGUUAGUGUUGUCUUUUAUUAUGUGAAGCCUCUUAAGUGAGCGUCUAAGAAAAAGCCUUAUAGAAAGAGUGCACUGGAUUUAUAAGUGUGUUUAUGUUUUUCUAAGAAUGGGAGCUUCUGUUAACUUAGUUGUUCUGAGUAAGACCGUGGAUUUGGGUGACUGACUAGAGAAUCCAGAAUGACAAGUUCAUUGACCAGGCAUUUUUACUUUUGCAUUAGAAGUUUGUUGAUUAGUUUUUAUUUUUGAAAUGCAAAUACUGAACUUUAAAAAUAUUGUUUAUUUCAUGUAUUGGUCAUUUAAAUAUUUAAUUGGGAGUGGUCAUUAUUAAUUGUUUUAGGAAAGUUUUUUUUUCUUUUACCUAUAUACAUGAGGCUGCCCUGACCUGACAUGUCAUGAUGUCGACUUGC